CAAAGAGAAAGAGUCAUUGUUUUGGUUUGAUUCUACUCUUAUAGCCUCGUUCAUCGCCAUCAUUAGUGACUCAUCAUUGUCUUCUUCUAAAGCUUUGAUUUUUCUUUGCUAUGAAAAUUGCCCUUUGAUUUCUUUUCUUUCCUUGUUUUAGCUUUCAAGAAAGGCUAAAUGUGUGUGUACUUGAGCAGUAGGAUCUCAAGAGACUCCCUCGGUGGGUCUGAUCUUGUACUUUACAGAAACUGUCACAUCCUCUCAACGCUUUUGAUUCUCCUGAUCAAUCAAUAGUGACCAUAGAAAAAAAACUUCGUGAUCUGUUUUCUCUGUUUCUUGAUCUGGAUUUGAUUUCUGCUGUCUUUGCUUACUAUGAUUUUGGGUCUUCUUUCAAU
Molecule: unclassified non-coding RNA, 386 nt
Filed under: Hevea brasiliensis (rubber tree)
Lineage: Eukaryota; Viridiplantae; Streptophyta; Magnoliopsida; Malpighiales; Euphorbiaceae
Source: RNAcentral